CCUUCGGGGUACUCGAGCGGCGAACGGGUGAGUAACACGUGAGCAACCUGCCCCUGACUCUGGGAUAAGCCCGGGAAACUGGGUCUAAUACCGGAUACGACGCGCCCCGGCAUCGGGUGUGUGUGGAAAGUUUUUCGGUUGGGGAUGGGCUCGCGGCCUAUCAGCUUGUUGGUGGGGUAGUGGCCUACCAAGGCGACGACGGGUAGCCGGCCUGAGAGGGCGACCGGCCACACUGGGACUGAGACACGGCCCAGACUCCUACGGGAGGCAGCAGUGGGGAAUAUUGCGCAAUGGGCGGAAGCCUGACGCAGCGACGCCGCGUGGGGGAUGACGGCCUUCGGGUUGUAAACCUCUUUCAGCAGGGACGAAGUUGACGUGUACCUGCAGAAGAAGCGCCGGCUAACUACGUGCCAGCAGCCGCGGUAAUACGUAGGGCGCAAGCGUUGUCCGGAAUUAUUGGGCGUAAAGAGCUCGUAGGUGGCUGGUCGCGUCUGCCGUGAAAGCCCGCAGCUUAACUGCGGGUCUGCGGUGGAUACGGGCCGGCUAGAGGUAGGCA
Molecule: ribosomal RNA, 556 nt
Filed under: Nonomuraea sp.
Lineage: Bacteria; Bacillati; Actinomycetota; Actinomycetes; Streptosporangiales; Streptosporangiaceae
Description: bacterial SSU rRNA
Rfam family: Bacterial small subunit ribosomal RNA
Source: RNAcentral